Molecule: ribosomal RNA, 845 nt
Filed under: Pollicipes polymerus
Lineage: Eukaryota; Metazoa; Arthropoda; Thecostraca; Pollicipedomorpha; Pollicipedidae
Description: SSU rRNA
Rfam family: Eukaryotic small subunit ribosomal RNA
Source: RNAcentral
AGCAUUUGCCGAGAAUGUUUUCAUUAGUCAAGAACGAAAGUUAGAGGUUCGAAGGCGAUCAGAUACCGCCCUAGUUCUAACCGUAAACGAUGUCGACCAGCAAUCCGCAACGGUCACUACACGGACUGUGCGGGCAGCUUCCCCGGGGAAACCAGAGUGUAUGGACUCCGGGGGAAGUAUGGUUGCAAAGCUGAAACUUAAAGGAAUUGACGGAAGGGCACCACCAGGAGUGGAGCUUGCGGCUUAAUUUGACUCAACACGGGACAACUCACCAGGCCCGGACACCGUAAGGAUUGACAGACCGAUAGCUCUCUCUUGAUUCAGUGGGUGGUGGUGCAUGGCCGUUCUUAGUUGGUGGAGUGAUUUGUCUGGUUUAUUCCGAUAACGAACGAGACUCUGGCCUAUUAAACUUGACGCCGCCGUCUUCGUGACUGCGGUGCGCUUCUUAGAGGGAUCAUCGGCGUCCCAGCCGAAGGAAAGGGAGCAAUAACAGGUCUGUGAUGCCCUUAGAUGUUCUGGGCUGCACGCGUGUUACACUGAAGUGGUCAGCGCGCCGUUCAACGUCCCUCUCCGUGAGGAGCGGGCAAACGUUUGAACCCUUUUCGUGAUGGGAAUUGGGGGUUGCAAUUGUCCCCCAUGAACGAGGAAUUCCAAGUAAGCGCAGGUCACUAGCCUGCGUUGAUUAAGUCCCUGCCCUUUGUACACACCGCCCGUCGCUACUACCGAUGGAUGAUUUGGUGAGGUCGCCUAGACUGGCCGCUGGCUUCGGCCGUGCGGCCGGGAAGACGCCCAAACUUGGUCGUCUAGAGGAAGUAAAAGUCGUAACAAGGUUUCCGUAGGUGAAC